ACUCAUGUCACUCCUUGCAAACUUUAUCAGUCCAGUUGACGUGUAUUUCUGAUACAACUCCCCCAGUGAACAAAGAUAUGACUGCAUUGUUCGUCAAAGUAGAUUUCCCACAGCUGCCGUAACAGUGAGUUCGUAGAAAAAUAAAAUAAAAGUUAUCUUUCUGGUAUUUUCACCUGCACUUCUGGAAACAUCAAGAUGAAAACUUUACUGUGGAGUUGUGCAGCAGUAAUGACUCUGUUUGUUACAGUUGAAUCUCUCACCUGUGAGACGUGUGAUUUUAAGAUCCUUGGCUACUGCAUGCACACUGAUCCUGUAAAUUGCACAGGAUCUCAGACUAACUGCUUCACUGGAGUUGCAAAGUUUACGAUCAGCCUGUUGAACAUCUAUGAACGUGGCUGUAUAGAACCAGCUGAGUGCAGAAACGAGACGGGCUCCAUCUUGUAUGUGAACUACACCGUCACCAGGACCUGCUGCAGCACCGACCUGUGCAAUGGGGCCACCUUC
RNA transcript from Haplochromis burtoni (Burton's mouthbrooder), 504 nucleotides. RefSeq lists it as uncharacterized. The transcript has 3 exons. The record is from RefSeq and is a predicted model, not a curated record. Lineage: Eukaryota; Metazoa; Chordata; Actinopteri; Cichliformes; Cichlidae.